Molecule: long non-coding RNA, 388 nt
Organism: Monodelphis domestica (gray short-tailed opossum)
Lineage: Eukaryota; Metazoa; Chordata; Mammalia; Didelphimorphia; Didelphidae
Source: Ensembl
AUGGCAAGCCUGUCAAGGGGAAGAGAGAGUGAAAGGAACUUUGAGGGUAACGUUGUCAAGGAAGAAAGAAAAAGAAAGAAAAUGUCAAAGUGGAGAGAGCCUUUUGGGAUCAGUUGGCAGGGAAGCUGCAGAAUGUUUCCUGAAUUUGACGCUGGUUUUAUCUGUCUCCAUCAAAGGAAAUUUUGUCAUGGAAUAUUGGAGGCAGAAGAGACUUUAAUGAUGAUUUAUUCUAAACCCUUCAUUUUAUAGAUGCAGAAAUUGAGGUUCAAAGGUAUAUUGUCCUGAAGGUGAUCCAGUCCUAGAACUCAGAUCUCCUGACUUCAAAUUGAGGAUUUGGUCACCUAUCAGUGAAAGGGCAUAAUCUCAUUCUUGAAUUUUUGUAACUUUU